Molecule: non-coding RNA, 100 nt
Filed under: uncultured Gemmiger sp.
Lineage: Bacteria; Bacillati; Bacillota; Clostridia; Eubacteriales; Oscillospiraceae
Description: TPP riboswitch (THI element)
Rfam family: TPP riboswitch aptamer (THI element)
About the family: Vitamin B(1) in its active form thiamin pyrophosphate (TPP) is an essential coenzyme that is synthesised by coupling of pyrimidine and thiazole moieties in bacteria. The previously detected thiamin-regulatory element, thi box was extended, resulting in a new, highly conserved RNA secondary structure, the THI element, which is widely distributed in eubacteria and also occurs in some archaea.
Source: RNAcentral
AACAGGGGCGCUGGAGGGCAUCUCCGGCUGAGAUCGAAGCAAACAGCAGCUUCGGGUCACCUUGAACCUGAUCCGGAUAAUGCCGGCGUAGGAAGUUUGA